Molecule: ribosomal RNA, 301 nt
Filed under: uncultured bacterium
Lineage: Bacteria
Description: partial 16S ribosomal RNA
Rfam family: Bacterial small subunit ribosomal RNA
Source: RNAcentral
CAGUAGCCGCGGGAAUACGAAGGGGGCUAGCGUUGUUCGGAUUUACUGGGCGUAAAGCGCACGUAGGCGGACUUUUAAGUCAGGGGUGAAAUCCCGGGGCUCAACCCCGGAACUGCCUUUGAUACUGGAAGUCUUGAGUAUGGUAGAGGUGAGUGGAAUUCCGAGUGUAGAGGUGAAAUUCGUAGAUAUUCGGAGGAACACCAGUGGCGAAGGCGGCUCACUGGACCAUUACUGACGCUGAGGUGCGAAAGCGUGGGGAGCAAACAGGAUUAGAUACCCCUGUAGUCCCUGUCUCUUAUAU